UUAGAUACCCUAUUAUUUUAAAUGUAAAUUAAUAUACUAAGUGAUUAAUAGUUAAGUUCUUUAAAGCUAAAUAAUUUGGCGGUAUUUUAAACUUUUCAGAGGAACCUGUUCUAUAAUUGAUAAUCCACGAUAGAAUUAACUUAAAUUAGUAAUUUUUAUAUCAUCGUUAUUAAAUAUUUUAAAAGAAUUUAAUAUUUAAAAUUUCUUUAUAAAGAAAAAAAUCAGAUCAAGGUGAAGUUAAUAUUUAAGAAGAAAUGGGUUACAAUAAAUUUUAUUAAUGGAUUAAAAUUUUAAAAAUUAAAUGAAAUUGGAUUUGAAAGUAAUUAGUUAUAC
Molecule: ribosomal RNA, 333 nt
Filed under: Psyllobora vigintiduopunctata
Lineage: Eukaryota; Metazoa; Arthropoda; Insecta; Coleoptera; Coccinellidae
Description: partial 12S ribosomal RNA
Source: RNAcentral